Non-coding RNA from Echinostoma caproni, 45 nucleotides. NCBI's taxonomy places the organism in Eukaryota, Metazoa, Platyhelminthes, Trematoda, Plagiorchiida, Echinostomatidae. The record is from Rfam.
GCAUUGAUGACGAGUCUCAAACAGGACGAAACAGCUGUCUAGCGC